CAGCCGCCGCGGUAAAACGGAGGGUGCGAGCGUUAAUCGGAUUUACUGGGCGUAAAGCGUGCGUAGGCGGCUGUUUAAGUCGGAUGUGAAAUCCCUGAGCUUAACUUAGGAAUUGCAUUCGAUACUGGGAAGCUAGAGUAUGGGAGAGGAUGGUAGAAUUCCAGGUGUAGCGGUGAAAUGCGUAGAGAUCUGGAGGAAUACCGAUGGCGAAGGCAGCCAUCUGGCCUAAUACUGACGCUGAGGUACGAAAGCAUGGGGAGCAAACAGGAUUAGAUACCCCCGUAGUCCCUGUCUCUUAUAC
Molecule: ribosomal RNA, 301 nt
Filed under: uncultured bacterium
Lineage: Bacteria
Description: partial 16S ribosomal RNA
Rfam family: Bacterial small subunit ribosomal RNA
Source: RNAcentral